AGUGAACGCUGGCGGUAGGCCUAACACAUGCAAGUCGAACGGCCGCACAGUAAGAGCUUGCUCUUACGGGUGGCGAGUGGCGGACGGGUGAGGAAUACAUCGGAAUCUACUUUUUCGUGGGGGAUAACGUAGGGUAACUUACGCUAAUACCGCAUACGACCUACGGGUGAAAGCAGGGGAUCUUCGGACCUUGCGCGAUUGAAUGAGCCGAUGUCGGAUUAGCUAGUUGGCGGGGUAAAGGCCCACCAAGGCGACGAUCCGUAGCUGGUCUGAGAGGAUGAUCAGCCACACUGGAACUGAGACACGGUCCAGACUCCUGCGGGAGGCAGCAGUGGGGAAUAUUGGACAAUGGGCGCAAGCCUGAUCCAGCCAUACCGCGUGGGUGAAGAAGGCCUUCGGGUUGUAAAGCCCUUUUGUUGGAAAAGAAAAGCAGCAGGUUAAUACCCCGCUGUUCUGACGGUACCCAAAGAAUAAGCACCGGCUAACUUCGUG
Molecule: ribosomal RNA, 492 nt
Filed under: uncultured bacterium
Lineage: Bacteria
Description: partial 16S ribosomal RNA
Rfam family: Bacterial small subunit ribosomal RNA
Source: RNAcentral